UCGGAUCAGAUGGAACUGAACGAACUAAACUAGAGCAAGUCAGAAUCAGAUUAAACGGGAAAUCUGGGGCGAACAGAACGGAAACUGAACUGAAUGGAGCAGAGAGGCUUAGCGGAUCUGAACAAAAACAGAAUGGAGGCGUCGUUGGAUCUGGGCUUCGAUCUAAACUUCAAAGGCAGACAUGAAGAAUGGGUCUGAACGAAAUCAGACAGGUCUGGAACAGAUUGGAGGCGGACGCGAGGAUCUGAGGACAUGGGGUUUCAUGGGUUUUGUCGAGACAACAUAAGAAGAUGGAGCAACGACAACGAAACGCAGCGGCGAGCGGAGCUUCUUGGACGACGGACAAAACCGAAACUCUUCGGCUGGGCGUUCGGCUUCAACUGGUAGAGGUUCAAUCGGCUGCUUGGCUAACAGAAAAACAAGAGGUCGGACGAAGAACUAUGAAGGAGAUGGCCGCCGCGGACGCUAGUGAAAAACAAAUGGGGUUUCUGGGGUUUGGAUAGUGGCAGAUUUGAACAGCAAUGAGUGGCAAAGGGAAGGUGCAACGACAACGGCAGAUUUGCAGAUCUAAGGGGUGGCUUCGGCUAAUGGGAGAUGAUUUUGCCUCCGUUGAUGGCUAAUGAGAGAUGAUUCUGCCUCCGUUGAUGAAUGAUCAACGGAGGCAGGGGUGUGGAGGCUAGAAUUCCAUAAAAAAAAAAAAAAUUUAAUAUCAAAUAAUAUCUCCAGAAUAAUAUCUCCUCAGAAUAAUCUAAUUAUAUUAAUAGGGACCAUGUACCUUAAGCUGAAAUACAUGAUAUUUUCAUGUGGAAAGAAGUGUGGGAAGACCGUGCAUAAUGAAAGUGGCAAUGACUAUUGGAAAAAAAGACCAGAAUUUUUUCAACUACCAUAUUGGAAACACUUGCAUGUUCGACACUGUUUAGACGUAAUGCAUAUUGAAAAAAAUGUAUGCAUGAACAUAGUGGGCACCUUGCUUGAUAUACCAGGAAAAAGUAAGGAUGAGAUGAAUACUUGACUUGACUUGGUUGAAAUGAAAAUUAGACCAGAAUUGGCACCAAUGUUUACUGGUAAUAGAACUUACAUUCCUGCGACAUGUUAUACAAUGUCAAGAGAAGAGAAGUAUUAGUUGUGUAAGACUUUGUCAGAAAUCAAAAUUUCAGAAGGUUAUUCAUCAAAUAUUAGCAGUCGUGUCUCUUUGGAUGAUUUAAAACUGACUGGCCUUAAGUCACACGACUGUCAUGUUUUAAUGCAGCAACUGCUUCCAAUUGCAAAACGUUCAGUUCUACCGAAGAAUAUGAGGUACACUAUCAAUAGAUUUGCUUUUUCUUCAAUGCGAUUUACGCCAAAAGUUUAUCCGUCUCAGAUCUUGAUGCAGUGCAAUAAGAUAUAGUUCUGAUUUUAUGCAAUCUUGAUAAGUAUUUCAUACCCUCGUUCUUUACAAUCAUGAUUCACCUUGUCGUUCAUCUUGUUAAAGAAGUAAAGCUUUGUGGACCUGUAUAUUUGUGGUGGAUGUACCCAUUUGAAGAUGCAUGAAAGUGUUGAAAAGUUAUGUUCGCAAUAGAACUCGACCGAAAGGAUGCAUUGCAGAAGCAAGCAUAUGUGAGGAGGCAGUUGAAUUCUGUUAAGAUUUUCUUUCUGGAUUAGAUCCUAUUGGACUUGGGUCAUUCAAUUCAAGGGCAGACAUACAAAACGAUCGACCACUAUCAGUAGGAACAUACGUUCGACCCGACGCUGACAACUGAAGCAAGCACAUCUUCAUGUCUUACAAAACACUGGAGAAGUGCACCCAUACGUUGAGUAAACAUUCAUAUGAUUAUAUACUGCCAUUAAUUUACCCUCAAGGGACCAUUUUAAUAUAUGAAACAUUUUGUAGACAACAUUUCAAUCAAUUAAAGAUGGAAAAUCGCAGAAGAGCCAAAAAUGAACAAUGGCUACAAGUUGAACAUAAUCGAUCAUUCGAUACAUGGUUUGAGGAUCAGGUGACGAGUGAACUACAAGAAGGAAAGGUUCUUUCGAACACCAUACGUUGGCUUGCACGUGGACCCCACCCUGCUUUAAUGACGUACAACGGAUACAUAAUUAAUGGAAAGUCUUACCACAAAGUCUCGUUUUGUACAUAAUUAAUGGACCAUCAAACUGUUCAAAACUGUGGGAUUAUGUUAUUUGCAACAACAAUGCAAGUGUCUAGUGCGAAGGACAAAAACCUGAUCUUUGUGACAUGUUUUUUUAUGGCACCAUUCAAAAUAUUUGGGAAGUCAACUACAAUA
This is a long non-coding RNA of Cucumis sativus (cucumber), 2264 nucleotides long. RefSeq lists it as uncharacterized. The transcript is spliced from 2 exons. The record is from RefSeq and is a predicted model, not a curated record. NCBI's taxonomy places the organism in Eukaryota, Viridiplantae, Streptophyta, Magnoliopsida, Cucurbitales, Cucurbitaceae.